GAGGCUCCUGCGAGGUCCUAGAGCGGGCUGGGUGCUCAAGCCCUCUCCCGGCGACGCCUGCCCUGACAACUUCUAAAGAGCCAGCCCGCCCCUGGGGAAAAGCGGAGGAAUCCUCUUUGGUCUCUUGCGCCUCAAAGAAAUGCCUAUGAUCAUCCAAGGAGAAUGCUGAGUGAGAAGGCCACCCACAGAAACCAGGGACACUGACACUCAAGGCACAGGCAGAAGAAAAGAUGCUUCAAAAGAAACCUGAGGAGGAGCUGCUCUAAAGGAAAGAGAAGCCAGAAGAGGUAGGCACCACGGAAAUCACUGAGAAGAACUCCAAAAAGCAAGGAGUAGUCAAAUGCCAGACCUGUCACAGGACAAGCAAGAUCCCUAAAAGCAAAACAGGAUUUUAGGACAGAAGUUCCACCCCAUCUUAGUCAGGAUUUGGAAGUCCGAAAUGAAAAAUCAGGAGGGAAAAUACCUAUGACUACAAAUUUAAACCACCACAGAAAGAGAAAUGGUAUGCUGGAUCACUUUUUCAGUCAUAGCCCAUAAGUACAGGUUGAAGGCAGGGAAAAAAAGUUGAUCUGGAGGCACUGCAACAAAAUGUAUCACUCAUAAUUUAUUAACAGAAAUUGUCAUUUCCACUCUCUACAUAUUUAAUCCUCCUGCCAUACGCAAGUCAAUGCUACUGUUUUCUCUUCUUCCUAUGGUAAAAAUUAGCGGGAUGCAUCAAAGCAAGCACUGGCUUCAUCUGCAGACUGGGUAUCUGUAAUAAACAUGGUUAAGAGUUCCCGGGGUAAUAAAGAUAAGAACAUUCUCCCUAACAUCAUCCUCAAAUACCUGAAUCUCUUUCAUUUUCCCUUAGCCUAUCUACCUGACAGUUACUAUAAAGAGCUUCCCUGAUCAAAGAUUUACUUGUUUUAAAAGAUACAUAUUAGGUCAGCUGGAGAAGAUUCAAUUUAUACAUUGUUUCAUAGUUAGGUACAGGUGUCUUCUGUUCUAAACACUGGGUGUGGUUUUAAAGGUAUAAAGAACAGAAAGAGGUUAUCAGUACAAUAAAAUGUACACAUUCUCCAAUUUGCUAUAAUUUCCCCUUAGCAGCUACCAGUUAUGUUAGAAAAACCUAAAAAUCCAUUUAUGAAGGUUAAUGUCCUGGAGUUCUUUGCAGAGCCCAGCAUGGUGUCUGAACUUCUAGGCCAGUCCCCCUUAUGUCAGACAUUAUUUUAGGUUUUAAUCUUUUGUUUUUUAUUCUACAUAAACAGGAUUCCACUAUGCGCAAUGACCUAAUACCCAAAAUGUGACGGCAUUUUAAAUCUAAGUAAUCUGGGCACAGAACUCAAGAACAGAAUCGUAUCUACAGGCACAAGGCCCAAAGGGCAGGAGGCACCCAGGUGAGCAGCUGAGCACAUUCACAACAGGCCUCCUGCUCCUCCUCCUGCCCAUCCAAAUAUCAGCAGUUUUGUUUAACUUGAUGUUAAACCACUUUAUUAUCCCUGGCUUAGAAAAACAGCUCAAAAGUGUAUUAUCAAGGGCUAGGGAGCACUGAACAGGGUAGGAGAGAGGUCAUAAAUUCAGGCUAUUUGCUACAGACAAUCCACAUUUGGUUAAUUAAGAACAGAGCAGACUGCCUCUACCCAAGCAAUUCAAAGGGAUGAACCACUGAUACAACAUCGUGAGCAAAAUACAGGUACCAAUGAGCACAUGCAAUAUGACUCCUAUUACAUAAAUUCUAGAACAGGCAAAACUGAUACCACCUAUAAUGACAGAAAGCAGAUCAGUUGGCUGCCUGACAUGGAGGUGAAGGGCACUGCCUAGGAGGGCACCCCAGGGACCUUUCUGAGGUGAAAAAAAGUCUCUAUCUUGAGAGAAGUGGUGGUUACAAAGGGUAUAUACAUUUGUCAGAACAUAUCAGAUUAAAGACAGAAAAUGCAUUCAUUUUACUAUACAUGAACUUUUCAGAGAAUAUAUUGUAGCACCCUGAUGACAUUAUCCUCUUUGCAAGCAAACAGCCAGGAUUACAAGUACUGGUGCCCCAGUGCUCACCUCCAAGGCUUCUACCUCCAGCCAAAGCCAUCUCCCUCAAUCUAAGUCAGUCCAUAGCACAUUUAUUCUUCUUGGUUACCUGGGGAUCAUCAUGGCCCUGCUCUGUCAUUAUAUCAAUGUGUUAUUUUGCAACAGAUAUUUAAACAAAAUUUAAAAAUUAAAUGAAAAUAUAUAGAGAAAACGGAAAUUCUAUCUCAUAUAUAUCAGUCCUGGAGUCCCUGUUUUCCUCCUUUAUCAGCCUCAAAGAAACCACUGCUAAUAAUUUCUCAUCUUGCCAGGGAUGAUCUAAGCCUACACAAAUGUGUAUAUGGGAUGCCUGGGUGGCUCAGUGGUUGAGCAUCUAUCUGCCUUUGGCUCAGGGUCGGAGUCCUGGGAUCGAAUACUGCACUAGGCUCCCUGUGGGGAGCCUGCU
Molecule: long non-coding RNA, 2440 nt
Organism: Canis lupus familiaris (dog)
Lineage: Eukaryota; Metazoa; Chordata; Mammalia; Carnivora; Canidae
Exons: 4
Source: RefSeq, a predicted model, not a curated record